Molecule: ribosomal RNA, 426 nt
Filed under: uncultured bacterium
Lineage: Bacteria
Description: bacterial SSU rRNA
Rfam family: Bacterial small subunit ribosomal RNA
Source: RNAcentral
AUUGAACGCUGGCGGAAUGCUUUACACAUGCAAGUCGAACGGCAGCACGGGGCAACCUGGUGGCGAGUGGCGAACGGUGAGUAAUACAUCGGAACGUGCCCAAUCGUGGGGAUAACGUAGCGAAAGUUACGCUAAUACCGCAUACGAUCUACGGAUGAAAGCGGGGAUCGCAAGACCUCGCGCGAGUGGAGCGGCCGAUGUCAGAUUAGGUAGUUGGUGGGGUAAAGGCUCACCAAGCCAACGAUCUGUAGCUGGUCUGAGAGGACGACCAGCCACACUGGAACUGAGACACGGUCCAGACUCCUACGGGAGGCAGCAGUGGGGAAUUUUGGACAAUGGGCGCAAGCCUGAUCCAGCCAUUCCGCGUGCAGGAUGAAGGCCUCGGUGUAACUGCUUUGUACGGUAACGAAACGGACGAGACUCUAA